GAUGAACGCUAGCUACAGGCUUAACACAUGCAAGUCGAGGGGCAGCACAGUGUAGCAAUACACGGGUGGCGACCGGCGCACGGGUGCGUAACGCGUAUCCAACCUUCCCGUUACUCUUGGAUAGCCUUCCGAAAGGGAGAUUAAUACCAAGAUGGUAUUCAAAUUCCGCAUGUUAUUUGAAUUAAAGAUUUAUCGGUAACGGAUGGGGAUGCGUGACAUUAGAUAGUAGGCGGGGUAACGGCCCACCUAGUCUACGAUGUCUAGGGGUUCUGAGAGGAAGGUCCCCCANACUGGAACUGAGACACGGUCCAGACUCCUACGGGAGGCAGCAGUGAGGAAUAUUGGUCAAUGGUCGGAAGACUGAACCAGCCCAAGUAGCGUGAAGGAUGAAGGUUCUAUGGAUUGAAACUUCUUUUAUACGGGAAUAAAACCUCCCACGUGUGGGAGCUUGUAUGUACCGUAUGAAUAAGCAUCGGCUAACUCCGUG
This 487-nucleotide ribosomal RNA is filed under the name uncultured bacterium. RNAcentral's name for it is "bacterial SSU rRNA". It matches the Rfam family "Bacterial small subunit ribosomal RNA", at positions 28 to 507 of the family's 1533-position model. The record is from RNAcentral.